UUGGAAAUGUAGGGGAGCCGGUAGUGCCGGCUGAGAUAGUAUCCAUAGAUGCUGACCCUUUAACCUGAUCUGGUUCGUACCAGCGUAGGGAACAUCUUCUGAUAGACG
This is a regulatory RNA element of 108 nucleotides. It matches the Rfam family "TPP riboswitch aptamer (THI element)". From Rfam's summary of the family: Vitamin B(1) in its active form thiamin pyrophosphate (TPP) is an essential coenzyme that is synthesised by coupling of pyrimidine and thiazole moieties in bacteria. The record is from Rfam.